Molecule: long non-coding RNA, 676 nt
Organism: Salvia miltiorrhiza (redroot sage)
Lineage: Eukaryota; Viridiplantae; Streptophyta; Magnoliopsida; Lamiales; Lamiaceae
Exons: 2
Source: RefSeq, a predicted model, not a curated record
GGCUAGUUUCAACAAGGUGCGAUGUGUAUAGCUACGGGGUGAUGUUGAUUGAAACUUUUACGAGAAAAAGGCCUACUGAUGAUAUAUUUUGCGGAGAUAUGAGCUUAAAGAGAUGCGUAGAACUCUCACUUUCGGAGAUCCCAGAUGAAGUGAUAGAUGCCAACUUAGUCAUGAAUUUGGAGGAAGAAAUGAUUGACAAGAAUAGGCAGUGUGUAUCAUCCAUACUCGAAUUGGCUCUGAAAUGCUCUGCGGACUCUCCCGGGGAUAGAAUCAACAUGAAACAAGCACAUGCAGAGUUGCAAAAAAUCAGACAUCGAUUUUCCCAAUGAGGUUCAAUGUUGAAGAUUUUGAACAGGCAGUUGAUGCUAAUUGGGUGGUGAGGUGGAUGACAUAAAGGUUUUGAUAAAGAAUGGAAAAUUUGGCUUGGUCCUUUUGUUGGUUUUUGCUAUCAUUGUUAAUUCGUUCUUCUUGUUUCUACUUUUUUUUUCUUGUUGUAAUCGAUGAGUACUCUUUUUCCUUUACCAGUGCUUUUCCCAUUGGGUUUUCGCCAUAAAGGUUUUAAUGAGGCUUGGCCCUUGGCUAGCGUCUUUGUGCUUUCAAGGGUUUGCUAUCUUUUUCGUUUUUCUCCUUUUAUACAAUUUCUAUUUCAACAACUGAUGCUCAAGGUUUUUCUAUC